RNAcentral lists this ribosomal RNA (464 nucleotides) under uncultured bacterium. RNAcentral's name for it is "partial 16S ribosomal RNA". It matches the Rfam family "Bacterial small subunit ribosomal RNA", at positions 28 to 506 of the family's 1533-position model. The record is from RNAcentral.
GACGAACGCUGGCGGCGUGCUUAACACAUGCAAGUCGUACGGUAAGGCCCUUUCGGGGGUACACGAGUGGCGAACGGGUGAGUAACACGUGAGUAACCUGCCCACAACUUUGGGAUAACGCUAGGAAACUGGUGCUAAUACUGGAUAUGUGCUCCUGCUGCAUGGUGGGGGUUGGAAAGCUCCGGCGGUUGUGGAUGGACUCGCGGCCUAUCAGCUUGUUGGUGGGGUAGUGGCCUACCAAGGCGGCGACGGGUAGCCGGCCUGAGAGGGUGACCGGCCACAUUGGGACUGAGAUACGGCCCAGACCCCUACGGGAGGCAGGAGGGGGGAAUAUUGCAAAAUGGGCGCAAGCCUGAUGCAGCAACGCCGGGUGCGGGAUGACGGCCUUCGGGUUUUAAACCGCUUUCAGCAGGGAAGAAGCUUUUUGUGACGGUACCUGCAAAAGAAGCACCGGCUAACUACGU